This 2372-nucleotide ribosomal RNA is filed under the name Streptococcus pneumoniae. RNAcentral describes it as "bacterial LSU rRNA". It matches the Rfam family "Bacterial large subunit ribosomal RNA", at positions 540 to 2925 of the family's 2925-position model. Lineage: Bacteria; Bacillati; Bacillota; Bacilli; Lactobacillales; Streptococcaceae. The record is from RNAcentral.
GAAAUAGAACCUGAAACCGUGCGCCUACAACAAGUUCGAGCCCGUUAAUGGGUGAGAGCGUGCCUUUUGUAGAAUGAACCGGCGAGUUACGUUAUGAUGCGAGGUUAAGUUGAAGAGACGGAGCCGUAGGGAAACCGAGUCUGAAUAGGGCGCCUUAGUAUCAUGACGUAGACCCGAAACCAUGUGACCUACCCAUGAGCAGGUUGAAGGUGCGGUAAGACGCACUGGAGGACCGAACCAGGGCACGUUGAAAAGUGCUUGGAUGACUUGUGGGUAGCGGAGAAAUUCCAAACGAACUUGGAGAUAGCUGGUUCUCUCCGAAAUAGCUUUAGGGCUAGCGUCGACAUUAGAGAUUCUUGGAGGUAGAGCACUGUUUGGGUGAGGGGUCCAUCCCGGAUUACCAAUCUCAGAUAAACUCCGAAUGCCAAUGAAUUAUGGUCGGCAGUCAGACUGCGAGUGCUAAGAUCCGUAGUCGAAAGGGAAACAGCCCAGACCACCAGCUAAGGUCCCAAAAUAAUUGUUAAGUGGAAAAGGAUGUGGGGUUGCACAGACAACUAGGAUGUUAGCUUAGAAGCAGCUAUUCAUUCAAAGAGUGCGUAAUAGCUCACUAGUCGAGUGACCCUGCGCCGAAAAUGUACCGGGGCUAAAACAAUUUACCGAAGCUGUGGAUACCUUUAUAGGUAUGGUAGGAGAGCGUUCUAUGUGUGAUGAAGGUAUACCGUGAGGAGUGCUGGAACGCAUAGAAGUGAGAAUGCCGGUAUGAGUAGCGAAAGACAGGUGAGAAUCCUGUCCACCGUAAGACUAAGGUUUCCAGGGGAAGGCUCGUCCGCCCUGGGUUAGUCGGGACCUAAGGAGAGACCGAAAGGUGUAUCCGAUGGACAACAGGUUGAUAUUCCUGUACUAGAGUAUGUAGUGAUGGAGGGACGCAGUAGGCUAACUAAAGCAGACGAUUGGAAGAGUCUGUCUAAGCAGUGAGGUGUGAAUUGAGUCAAAUGCUUAAUUCUAUAACAUUGAGCUGUGAUGGGGAGCGAAGUUUAGUAGCGAAGUUAGUGACGUCACACUGCCAAGAAAAGCUUCUAGCGUUUAAACAUACUCUACCCGUACCGCAAACCGACACAGGUAGUCGAGGCGAGUAGCCUCAGGUGAGCGAGAGAACUCUCGUUAAGGAACUCGGCAAAAUGACCCCGUAACUUCGGGAGAAGGGGUGCUGACUUAAAGUCAGCCGCAGUGAAUAGGCCCAAGCAACUGUUUAUCAAAAACACAGCUCUCUGCUAAAUCGUAAGAUGAUGUAUAGGGGGUGACGCCUGCCCGGUGCUGGAAGGUUAAGAGGAGUGCUUAGCGUAAGCGAAGGUAUGAAUUGAAGCCCCAGUAAACGGCGGCCGUAACUAUAACGGUCCUAAGGUAGCGAAAUUCCUUGUCGGGUAAGUUCCGACCCGCACGAAAGGCGUAAUGAUUUGGGCACUGUCUCAACGAGAGACUCGGUGAAAUUUUAGUACCUGUGAAGAUGCAGGUUACCCGCGACAGGACGGAAAGACCCCAUGGAGCUUUACUGCAGUUUGAUAUUGAGUGUCUGUACCACAUGUACAGGAUAGGUAGGAGUCUAAGAGAUCGGGACGCCAGUUUCGAAGGAGACGCUGUUGGGAUACUACCCUUGUGUUAUGGCCACUCUAACCCAGAUAGGUGAUCCCUAUCGGAGACAGUGUCUGACGGGCAGUUUGACUGGGGCGGUCGCCUCCUAAAAGGUAACGGAGGCGCCCAAAGGUUCCCUCAGAAUGGUUGGAAAUCAUUCGCAGAGUGUAAAGGUAUAAGGGAGCUUGACUGCGAGAGCUACAACUCGAGCAGGGACGAAAGUCGGGCUUAGUGAUCCGGUGGUUCCGUAUGGAAGGGCCAUCGCUCAACGGAUAAAAGCUACCCUGGGGAUAACAGGCUUAUCUCCCCCAAGAGUUCACAUCGACGGGGAGGUUUGGCACCUCGAUGUCGGCUCGUCGCAUCCUGGGGCUGUAGUCGGUCCCAAGGGUUGGGCUGUUCGCCCAUUAAAGCGGCACGCGAGCUGGGUUCAGAACGUCGUGAGACAGUUCGGUCCCUAUCCGUCGCGGGCGUAGGAAAUUUGAGAGGAUCUGCUCCUAGUACGAGAGGACCAGAGUGGACUUACCGCUGGUGUACCAGUUGUCUUGCCAAAGGCAUCGCUGGGUAGCUAUGUAGGGAAGGGAUAAACGCUGAAAGCAUCUAAGUGUGAAACCCACCUCAAGAUGAGAUUUCCCAUGAUUAUAUAUCAGUAAGAGCCCUGAGAGAUGAUCAGGUAGAUAGAUUAGAAGUGGAAGUGUGGCGACACAUGUAGCGGACUAAUACUAAUAGCUCGAGGACUUAUCCAA